UCAGGCAACGAGCGAGACCCACGCCAACAGUUGCCAGCUCGUCCUCCGGGAUGGUGGGGACACUGUUCGGGAACCGCCUCUAGGCUAAAGGAGGAGGAAGGAAUGGGCAACGGUAGGUCAGCAUGCCCCGAAUUAUCUGGGCUACACGCGGGCUACAAUGGGUGGGACAAUGGGUAUCGACACCGAAAGGUGAAGGCAAUCUCCUAAACCCAUCCGUAGUUCGGAUUGUGGGCUGCAACUCGCCCACAUGAAGCUGGAAUCUGUAGUAAUCGUGUCUCAAAAUGGCACGGUGAAUAUGUCCCUGCUCCUU
RNAcentral lists this ribosomal RNA (310 nucleotides) under uncultured Methanomicrobiales archaeon. Its description in RNAcentral is "bacterial SSU rRNA". It matches the Rfam family "Archaeal small subunit ribosomal RNA", at positions 1034 to 1338 of the family's 1478-position model. Lineage: Archaea; Methanobacteriati; Methanobacteriota; Methanomicrobia; Methanomicrobiales. The record is from RNAcentral.